This is a non-coding RNA of Lactuca sativa (garden lettuce), 1278 nucleotides long. The record is from RefSeq and is a predicted model, not a curated record. Lineage: Eukaryota; Viridiplantae; Streptophyta; Magnoliopsida; Asterales; Asteraceae.
UAAACAAUCAACACAAUCAGCUCCCCUGAAAGUCAAUACAUAUGAACCCUAACCCCUUCCUUCUGCCGAUAUGCAUAACCCCAUUGAUUGCAUGUAUACAUGGAAUCGAUCCUAUGCGUUCUACUAAAGUUUCUUUUCCACCCUUCGUUCCCGAUUCCCCAUCAACUCUCCACCCAAAUUCACCGGAAGUUUAUGAAAACCUAGAAGAAUGUUCUUUUCUCUAUUUGGGAGAAGCUUUGGGCAUUUCGUACAAGUUUUGUAGGUAAUUUGAAUGAUAUAAUAACUAUCGCCAAGAAAUCAGGAAGGUAAUUUGAAUUCAUUUUUCAAUUUUGAAAUGACAAAUUAAAAUGCAAUUCACUCACAUUGUUACAGGUUCUAUUGUUCAUAUUAUCCUUUUUUGUUCUAGGGUGUUGAGAAAUUGUUGAGUAUGUAUCGACUCAUUUUCAUCUAUUUGAUUUCCAAUUAAUGGAGAAUAAUUUGAAGGUCUUCAUUCCUCAGCAAAUGUAUAGAAGACUUUGAUGGUAUUGAAGGUUUAAUAGAAGAGGUAAUUUCAUCCUCAAUUUAAGUGAUUGGAGCUUAGGAAGGAACGAAAAUUUAUAUGGAUGUGCUUGGUGAUUGGAAGAAUGGAUACUAUAUCAAUUGGACUUUGGAAAGUGGAAAGUAAUGAAAAUUCAUAUCCGAUAUCUCUCUAUAAGUGGAGAUACUUCGUGGGCUAUUUGGAUUUUCAUUCACAAUCGGUGGGUUAAAGUAGAUGAUAAUACUUACAAUGAAAGUGCACAUGAAUGGUGGGAUUAUAGAAACAAUACCCUAUAUUUCUUUAGAGGAAAUACAAUUGAGUAUGAGGUUCCGACACAUUAUUCUCAACAAGUUUUUUCAAUCCGUUCUGAUUUUGAUACAGUGACUAUGCCAGGUCGAUAUUACUGAUUAUAUAUAUUUUAAUUUGCAUUCGAACAUAGUUGUUUUUAUUGUAAUGAACUAUUUUAAUAUUUUAUAUUAUUCUAUGAUUUAUUACUUUUUUUUAUUUAUUGUUUUAAUUGUUAUGAAAUUAAAAUAGCUAUUGUAAUGUAUGUUAAUGAAUUUAAAAUAGCUAUGGUAAACUACUUUUAAUUGUCAUGCUUCCUAUGAUGUAAUAUAAGUUUACAAUUCAAUGUUUUUAAAUAUGCUCCUGUGUUUAACGCGGGUUUUAAUCUAGUUUAUUACAAAUCAAGACCAUUUAAUUUAAUUGCUUAGAUUUCCGUGACUAUGUAUAAAAUAAUUUAAUUAAAAGAUCCAGAUUAU